RNAcentral lists this ribosomal RNA (270 nucleotides) under uncultured bacterium. Its description in RNAcentral is "partial 16S ribosomal RNA". It matches the Rfam family "Bacterial small subunit ribosomal RNA", at positions 524 to 776 of the family's 1533-position model. The record is from RNAcentral.
UACGUAGGGAGCGAGCGUUGUCCGGAUUCAUUGGGCGUAAAGAGUUCGUAGGCGGCUUGGCAAGUCGGGUGUGAAAACUCCAGGCUCAACCUGGGACACCACCCGAUACUGCGUCUGGCUCGAGAUGUCCGGGGUAGGGGAGGACGUUCGGGAAUUCCUGGUGGUAGGCGGUAGAAAUGCGCAGAUAUCAGGGAGGGAACACCCAGCGGCGAAGGCGGCGCUCUGGGCCGGUACUGACACUGAGGAGCGAAAGCGUGGGUAGCAAACAGG